UUAAAUUUUAUAGAUAUUUUUUUAUAUAAAUAUGCUCAUGUGGUACCGAAACCGCAGGACGUUCGGUAAUUCACAUCGAGUGGUCAGAACUCAUUGAACGGCCGCAUUGUUCUUUCUGCGUCCCCUGGCGAAUCUGUCAACUGAGAAAUAAUCGAUGUGUUUUUAGAGUUUAAUCCCGUUUAACUUACUGGCGAAGUCCACAGACAAAUUUUUCAAUUUUUACUAACUCUACAUCUAUUACGCUUUUUUUUCCAAGCCUAAAGGUGUGCUUUAAUAUUUUGUGCACCAUUCCAAUCAUCCAUGCACAUUUGGGACAACUGCUGCCUCUCUUUCUCAGAUGUUAGAUGCUAGGUGGCGCCACUGUUUUUGACUUUAAUGUUGCUCCUGCCAUCUAUCGGUAUAUGUUUGCAGAAAUGGAUAUAUUAAGGAAAUUUUCUCUUUUCCCCUCACUGGCAACCCGUGGUAUGCAGGAGAAGAUGGGGAAUCUAAAAGCUCACGAAAAAAAUUUAUGUUAAUAUUGAGCGACACCGAGAGUUACAAUCAAAUUUAUCAUGAAAUUUGUAACGGGUUGAAAGCACAUUUACCAAACAUAAAAAGAGAAUUACAUUUAAAAAUUGAAGCUAUCGAUGAAGUUUAUGAGUUAAAAGGAAUGCGUUAUAUUUUCCGAAAAAAUGGAGCAAGUAAAGGUUUUGCCAUACUCUGUUUCCGCUGCAAUAACAGCUUCAAAUGCAAAGCAAAAACCCUAUAGAGACAGGUAUGAGAAGGCCAGCCGAUAUCUAAUAAACGAAAAUAAUUUUUUUUACCAAGAACAUUAUACUCCUUCUUACCCAUAUUCAAUGGGUUCAGGGUUUAAAUAUUGAAAAUGUCUCAAAAAGUUUGAUCUUAGUCAAACCAUUUUUUAUAUAUCUAUAUUUUAGUUUGGGUUAGGGCUUAUUUUUGUUGGUCGGUAUUGAUAUUGUGGGCUUGAAAUAUAACCGUCUAACAAUCCUGCUGCCAACUUAUAUUUACAAGUACACUUAGCGCAAGGCGUUUGUUGCAUUGGUAAUGACCACCAUGUACACCUUAAGGUGUAAGCUUAUAUUUAAUUUCAUAUACAAACACGCAGGUUAAAAGCUACGUGCUAUAAUUUAGCGACUGCUCUUCCUCCUCUCUCUCCCAUACACACUGAGGAAUAGUUUAUUUAAUUACUACUAUGUAUAUUUUGCGAGAGUUUAACGGUCGUUUUAGGGAAAACAGGAGGAAGUCUAAAAAAAUGUGAAUAAAUUACUUA
Long non-coding RNA from Drosophila novamexicana, 1270 nucleotides. RefSeq lists it as uncharacterized. The transcript has 3 exons. NCBI's taxonomy places the organism in Eukaryota, Metazoa, Arthropoda, Insecta, Diptera, Drosophilidae. The record is from RefSeq and is a predicted model, not a curated record.